Long non-coding RNA from Poecilia latipinna (sailfin molly), 558 nucleotides. RefSeq lists it as uncharacterized. The record is from RefSeq and is a predicted model, not a curated record. NCBI's taxonomy places the organism in Eukaryota, Metazoa, Chordata, Actinopteri, Cyprinodontiformes, Poeciliidae. The transcript is spliced from 2 exons.
GCUGGCUCUCUUAUCUCCGGGUGAGUGAUUUUCUCAAGGCCCUCAUCACUGGAAGACUCAGUGAAUCUGCAAGAAAAGUGGCCAUCUACCACACUGACUGGUUCUCUGAUGGAUCAAACUUUUGGUUCAAGCUGGUAGCCUCAACCCAGUGCAUGCCCAACCAAUACUGUUGGACAAAUCGACUGUUCUAUGGGGCAAAUGCUACCAGUGCGCCAGGAUCAAUUUCUGUCAGCCUCAUUUCAAAUCAUGGAAGACCAUUUCCUAAACAAGCCAUCUGCAUCUCAGGACUUCAUUUCAACUGACCCUCUUUUAGAGGGUCAUCUUUUAGUCAUGUGGUACCAGCAGUCUCAUCUUUGAGCCAAACAAUUUGUGAGCUGACUUCUAACCAAAUUGAUCCUCAUGAUGAAACUCCACAAGAAUUAAACUGUGCCUUGAGAAAUGUUGAUUUAGACCAUAGUGACCUCAUUGGUCAUUGAUUCAGCACCUGAAAUGUUAAAUAUCCAUUAACAUUUUGAGGCAAAGUUGUUUGGUAAUGAAUAAAUAGCAAGUGGAAAUAUA